GGGUUAUUUUAAGUCAUGCCCAAUCAAAAGUAAUAAUCCGGCGUACGGAUAUAAACUUCGAGGGUCUCCCGGGGGUCGCGGUUUCCCAGAUGUCUCUUUGGCAGUCAUGCACAGGUCUCUGUUUACGCUGGAAAUGAAUGUAGACACCUGCUGUGGAAAAAACAAAGCGGUGAUGACUCCAGUGAAGCAGACCCCCACUGACUCUGGAUCAGCCUCAUAAUGGAUGCGGACCACACAGGACCCAAACUCUGAGUCUGCAUGUCGCAGCCAUUUCCUCUUGUAAUAUAGGUCAACCACAGCCAAGAGCGAAUGUCUGUCUCCUGUUGUUUAUCGAUCUGCAGUGGUUGGUGGCUGGGUUUCACCCCGGUGAGUAUAUGGUUACAACACCCUUAACUGCAGCCAUUACGGGUCGAGGACUUGAAUAAUGAAUCAUAUUUUCCAUGGUGGGGACCCGUCUGCUGUUCUGACCACAGGGAU
This is a long non-coding RNA of Cyprinus carpio carpio, 477 nucleotides long. NCBI's taxonomy places the organism in Eukaryota, Metazoa, Chordata, Actinopteri, Cypriniformes, Cyprinidae. The record is from Ensembl.